Molecule: unclassified non-coding RNA, 2333 nt
Filed under: Hevea brasiliensis (rubber tree)
Lineage: Eukaryota; Viridiplantae; Streptophyta; Magnoliopsida; Malpighiales; Euphorbiaceae
Source: RNAcentral
AUUUUUUUUUACAGAAGAACAUCUACUUGCUUUAUUUUCCAAACAUGUAUAUGCACAUAUAUUGUACUUAAAGAAUUUUUUUGACGUUAUAGACAAUUGCAGGAGCAUUCAUAUGUAAUUAAAAUAACAAAUAUUUCUAUGAUGCCAGAGAAUUAUCAUUGUAUCAAUGCUCAACAAAUCUGACAAGCCUCAACUUGAUGUAUCAGUUUUGGUUUCCUCAAGCUCAAGAACAGCAUUAAAUCCAAAAGCAUUUCCUGGUGAGAACAAUUUCUUGAGUUCUUCUGCCUUUUGGAUAGUGUUAACUUUGUUGUCCUUCACAUUCAGAUUUUCCUGUUUUAAAAGGAGAAACUUAAUAUUCAUUUCAGUUUCAUAAAAGCAAGCAUGCAAAGAUAGGUGAAAUGAAUUGCCUUCUUCACAUAAUUUGCAAUGGAUGAGGUAACUAUUUCUUGUAUCACAAAGUUGGUUACUCGCUCUUCACCAAGAAUCUGUAGGAGGAAAUCCCGUGGGACCUGUAGAAAUUAUGAGUGAGCUAUUUCAGAACAAGAAAUUAAAAUGCUUAAUGAGGCAAUUUUCUUUAGGAUAAAAUGCCAGACGUCUUGCAUAAAAUUUUCUUUACUGGUUUGAAAAAUGAGAAACAAAUAAAAAUUAAAUGAUACUUUAUUCCAUGUCCCUGCCACAUUCCAUGGUAUCUCCAGCAUAAAAUGCUCAGGGCAAUACGUGUGAGCACAGACAGCAGAAAUUCUAGCUAGUCUACUUGGAGAUUAGAUUCUUGUCAAAUCAAAACAUUUAAAUAAAGAAGGAAAAUUGGGAGUUACUGAAACUGCUCAAAUACAAAUUCUCAUGCAUAAUAUCAAAUGCAUAAUGUUUCAAGGCCUGUGAUACCCUAUCUUUGAGUUUCUCUAAUCUCAAUACAGGCUACAAAACUAUUAAAUGUGACUGUAGUCUGUGUCUCUAAGAUCAAAUAUGAAAACAUUUUUCAUUCUCAAAUGAAAAUCAGGCAGGCAUCCAUUAUUUCCCAAAUUGCAAGAUAAAGGACAAACAAGCUUCAUUUUUGUACAGGAGCACCUAUAGUGAGCAACUUUGUCUACAGACAGUCUUUGCAAUAAUAGAUAAAGCAGCUGGAAGGCUUGAAUUCGAGGAAGGGACCUAAGGGAAAGAGACUUGCAAGUUUACCAGGUCAUCACUUUAUGGAAAGAGUUGAUAAAUUUACUGCAUUUUUAUGAUUGUAGGGAAUGGAUUACUAUCUAUAUAUAUUAUAUAUAUAUACACACAAGGCAAACUAGAGAAGUCAUUCUUUUUCGUUGAACUUUGAUGGCCAAUUCAAUAACAUCAACACCUAGGAUAUCAGAUUACAAGCAUGUAUCUGUAAUAUUUUGGUGAUAGAAGCUAAUACAGAUAAAAAUGCAUUCCUCUCUGUUUCACAAUUCUAUAAGAAUCUAAUGGCAUGUUUUCUGUAGAAGAUCCAAACACACUGAACUUGUUUGUUUAUAGAGUACAAACUUAAACUUUCAGAAGGCAAUGAAACCAUGGUUUGAACUUCCUUAAUGUUUUGAAUACAUAAUUUCAUUGCCAAGUGAUUAUGAUGUAUGCAGUCUGGACUCUGGCGGAAAUAAAGAAUUAAACUACUUACCUUUGAUGUUUUUCCUGGAUUAGCCCCAAGAUACAUGCAAAAAUACAAGUAAAUAAACUAAACUGGUUAGAAUUCAAAGUUUGAUAAAUUCACAAGCCGCACAAGACAAAAAAUAUAUGAACCAAGUGAGAAUGUUAACGAGAUGAGAAAAACAUCUAACAGCUAAGCUGCUUAUACUUCUCAUUUAGCAAACAGAUUGACCUGCUUGAGCAACAUUAUCAUCCGGACUCAGCAGCUAAACUUAAAAAAAAAAAUCCAAAGGCAAGAUGAAAUAGCAUGUCUUACCUCCCUUUUGCCUUCGAAACCCAGGAAUUGGUGGCGCCGAGCGACCCAAAUCUAUCAAAACCUUAUCAAACACCUUUUGUGUCUCAUCUCCAGGCAAGUCCACUCUUAGCUGAAUCUUGUUUUCUUCCUUGGACUCUAGCACUACUUGAGCGUUUUUCAAGGUUAUUGCAUUGUCCUUAGGAUCUGUAAUCGACGCCUCUAACCCUGAGCCAACGGCAGACAGAGGCUUGCCCACAUGCUCAAGAACCCUUCUCUCCUUGGGAUUAGAAGAGAAUGAAAACCUCAAAUCAAGGCUUGCUGGGGAGGUGGCGGUGGUGAUGCUCCUAUGGGUAGAAACGUAACUGCAGGAGCAGUAGCUUCUCAGGGGAAAAAUCGUUGACAAUGACGCCAUGCCUCUUGUGUUCUCUAAGCUGUACUG